RNAcentral lists this transfer RNA (77 nucleotides) under Candidatus Improbicoccus devescovinae. RNAcentral describes it as "tRNA-Pro". It matches the Rfam family "tRNA". From Rfam's summary of the family: Transfer RNA (tRNA) molecules are approximately 80 nucleotides in length. Their secondary structure includes four short double-helical elements and three loops (D, anti-codon, and T loops). Further hydrogen bonds mediate the characteristic L-shaped molecular structure. tRNAs have two regions of fundamental functional importance: the anti-codon, which is responsible for specific mRNA codon recognition, and the 3' end, to which the tRNAs corresponding amino acid is attached (by aminoacyl-tRNA synthetases). tRNAs cope with the degeneracy of the genetic code in two manners: having more than one tRNA (with a specific anti-codon) for a particular amino acid; and 'wobble' base-pairing, i.e. permitting non-standard base-pairing at the 3rd anti-codon position. Lineage: Bacteria; Bacillati; Bacillota; Clostridia. The record is from RNAcentral.
CGAGGUGUGGCUCAGCUUGGUAGAGCGCUACGUUCGGGUCGUAGAAGUCGCAGGUUCAAAUCCUGUCACCUCGACCA